This 353-nucleotide ribosomal RNA is filed under the name uncultured bacterium. RNAcentral describes it as "bacterial SSU rRNA". It matches the Rfam family "Bacterial small subunit ribosomal RNA", at positions 32 to 361 of the family's 1533-position model. The record is from RNAcentral.
AAUCAACGCUGGCGGCGUGCCUCAGACAUGCAAGUCGAACGCGAAAGUUUCCUUCGGGAGGCGAGUAGGGUGGCGCACGGGUGAGUAACACGUAAGUAAUCUACCUUUGGGUGGGGAAUAACAGCCGGAAACGGCUGCUAAUACCGCAUAAUGCAGCGGCUCGACAUCGAGACAGUUGUUAAAGCGGGGGAGUUCGUAAGAACCUCGCGCCUAAAGAGGAGCCUGCGGCGGAUUAGCUAGUUGGUAAGGUAAUGGCUUACCAAGGCAUCGAUCCGUAGCCGGCCUGAGAGGGCGGUCGGCCACACUGACACUGACAUACGGGUCAGACUCCUACGGGAGGCAGCAGUCGGGAA